This is a long non-coding RNA of Mangifera indica (mango), 694 nucleotides long. RefSeq lists it as uncharacterized. NCBI's taxonomy places the organism in Eukaryota, Viridiplantae, Streptophyta, Magnoliopsida, Sapindales, Anacardiaceae. The record is from RefSeq and is a predicted model, not a curated record. The transcript has 2 exons.
UAGAUCUUGUCAGACAACCGACAAAUACUUGUUUUAUUUUUGAAAUUCUUCACUGGCAUAAAACUGAUGAUUUUAAUGCCGGUUGUACAGCCACACUACUGAGUCAACCAUACUUCAGUCAUUUGGGCCUAUGCUGCUUGAAUUUUACCGAUUGGGCACUAUGCGAACAUGUUAAAUGAUCGAUUCUCAGACGUUUAGAAGACAGAAGUUUCAACCUUGAACUUGUCUCCUUGGGCAUGUAUUAUGAACAAAUUUCUGCAGUUAUAGCUUAUUUAUUUUCAGUAAGUCAAUUUGCAGGUAGUCAUUGGGCAAUCACUAAAUGGAACUCAUAUGCUGGAUUAAGAGCACAAACAGCUGGAGCUCCACAGAAUCACUGGUUUGGACCAUCUGGAGACCCAAGAGUUGCAGGAAUUGGGACACCAAAAGCAAUAAAAGUUGUUUGGUCUUGCCAUAGAGAAAUCAUAUACGAUGUUGGUCCAGUCUCGAGUCACUGGGAGAUACCAUUGUCUACUUGAUGAUGCACAUUGAUUAGUAGAGAAGAGAAAAAAAGGUUUUAUAUUAAUAAAUUACAUUUCAUAGAAGCCAACAGAAGUAGUGUUCAUUACCUCAUUCUCUUUGUUGGUUUCAUCCAAAGAGAACAAUUAUAUCUCAUUCGUUUUCUGUCUGAAUAACAAGUUUACCAUUUUUUUGUCUA